GGAUGACUGCAGGGACCCUGUGUCCUUGAGGAAAGUCCAUGCUCGCGCCCCCUGCGAUGGGGACAGUGCCUGCUGCCAAAGGAAACGAUAACUUUGGGCAUGGGAAACCAUGACGGCGAGGAAGAAUCUAAACCUUCGGGCACGAUGUCUUCCUCCUAAGGCUCCACAGUGACGAAACUCCGGGAAACCGGAGGAAUGCAACGACGGAAAGCCCCGCAAGCGAGAAACCUAAAUUUUGGUAAGGGAAGCGCCGACCGGGAAAUGAACCGGGAGGGGCAGGCGAAAGCCUAGAUAAAUUGUCAUCCUCGACAUAACAUGGCUUACAG
Molecule: RNase P RNA, 326 nt
Filed under: chicken gut metagenome
Description: Bacterial RNase P class B
Rfam family: Bacterial RNase P class B
About the family: Ribonuclease P (RNase P) is a ubiquitous endoribonuclease, found in archaea, bacteria and eukarya as well as chloroplasts and mitochondria. Its best characterised activity is the generation of mature 5'-ends of tRNAs by cleaving the 5'-leader elements of precursor-tRNAs.
Source: RNAcentral